CACCUCUUUUAAGUUCACCUUUUGUACUUACUUAACACCUUUUUUGUAGUUAAAAUCUAAAAAUAGAUUGUAGCUUAAAAUUCUAGCUUCACUAUAAAGUAAGAGCUAAGUACCUUCAUUGUUCCAAUCAGGAGAUUACAAUUUUAUCUUCACAAUAAAGAAAGAGCUAAGUAUCUUCAUUGUUACAAUCAGGAGAUAGAUAAAUCCAAUCUUCACAAGAAUCAGGAGAACAAUUCAUAUGCAAAUAGUAAUUAUAAUAUCAAUUAUUUAGUACUUUAAGAUUUACAAAGUGCUUUCCAUGUUAUUCAUUUCCUAGGAAGUAGGAACUCAUUAUUCCCACUUUUUCAGCUGAGGCACAGAAAGGUUAAAUGACUUGCCUAGCAUCUCACAUCUAACUAAGAGUCUAAAGUAGGAUUCAAACUCAAGUCUACCCGAUUCCAAGUUCUGUACUCUAUCUACUUUGCCUCAUUGAUGAAUACAGCACUGUAAAGGAAAACAGCUAUGAAAGAUUUAAGGACUAAGAUCAGAGCAAUGACUAAUCACAACUCUAGAACAUAAAAGAUGAAUCAUGCUUCCCAGCUCUGCCAGAGAGUUCCAGUCCUCGAUGAUGACCCUUCAGGUGGUAGACACUUAACCUCCCAGAAGCUCAGAUUCUCAGAGUUGACUGAUUCUUGCUGAGUCAGUGCCAGCAAUAAGCACCCUGUGACGCAGCUCAAGGAAAAGAAUUUAUCCUGAGAGGACUACUGGAGGAC
This 752-nucleotide long non-coding RNA is filed under the name Monodelphis domestica (gray short-tailed opossum). Its description in RNAcentral is "lncRNA (ENSMODG00000043480.1)". Lineage: Eukaryota; Metazoa; Chordata; Mammalia; Didelphimorphia; Didelphidae. The record is from RNAcentral.